CAGGCCACAUUGUGCUGCCACA
Molecule: microRNA, 22 nt
Filed under: Scyliorhinus torazame (cloudy catshark)
Lineage: Eukaryota; Metazoa; Chordata; Chondrichthyes; Carcharhiniformes; Scyliorhinidae
Description: Sto-Mir-15-P1a_3p* (star (passenger))
Source: RNAcentral